RNAcentral lists this ribosomal RNA (1488 nucleotides) under endosymbiont of Columbicola paradoxus. RNAcentral's name for it is "16S ribosomal RNA". It matches the Rfam family "Bacterial small subunit ribosomal RNA". The record is from RNAcentral. Lineage: Bacteria; Pseudomonadati; Pseudomonadota; Gammaproteobacteria; Enterobacterales; Enterobacteriaceae.
UGGCGGCAGGCCUAACACAUGCAAGUCGAGCGGCAGCGGGAGAAAGCUUGCAUCUUUGCUGGAGACCGCGGACGGGUAAGAAGUGUCUGGUGAUCUGCCCGAUGGAGGGCAUAACUAUUGGAAACGGUAGCUAAUACUGCAUAACGUCGCAAGACCAAAGUGGGGGAACUUCGGGCCUCACACCAUCGUGAUGAACCCAGAUAAGAUUCGCUAGUAGGUGGAGUAAUGGCUCACCUAGGCGACGAUCGCUAGUUGGUUUGAUUUGAGAGGAUGACCAGCCACACUGGAACUGAGAUACGGUCCAGACUUCUACGGGAGGCAUCAGUGGGGAAUAUUGCACAAUAGGGGAAAUACUGAUGCAGCCAUGUCGUGUGUGUGUGUGUGUGUGUGUGUGUGUGUGUGAAGAAGGCCUUCUGGUUGUAAAGCGCUUUCAGCAUGGAAGAAGGCGAUGGCGUUAAUAGCACCAUUGAUUGAGGUUACCCGCAGAAAAAGCACCAGUUAACUCCGUGCCAGCAGCCGCGGUAAUACGGAGGGUACGAGCGUUAAUCGGGUUAAUCGGAAUUACUGGGCGUAAAGCGUACGCAGGCGGUCUGUUUAGUCAGAUGUGAAAUCCCCGUGUUCAACCUGGGAACUGCAUUUGAGACUGGUAGGCUAGAGUCUCGUAGAAGGGAGUAGAAUUCCAGGUAUAGCGGUGAAAUGCGUAGAGAUCUGGAGGAAUACCGGUGACGAAGGCGGCCCUGAACGAAGAUUGACGCUUAGGUACGAAAGCGUGGUAAGCAAACAAGAUUAGAUACCCUGGUAGUCCACGCUGUAAACGAUGUCGAUUUGAAGGUUGUGGCCUUGAGCCGUGGCUUUCGGAGCUAACGCGUUAAUCGACUGCCUGGGGAGUACAGCCGCAAGGUUAAAACUGAAAUGAAUUAACGGGGUCCGCACAAGCGGUGGAACAUGUGGUUUAAUUAGAUGCAAUACGAAGAACCUUAUCUACUAUAUGACAUCCAGAGAACUAAGCAGAGAUGCCUUGGUGCCUUCGGGAGCUCUGAGACAGGUGCUGCAUGGCUGUCGUCAUGCUCGUGUUGUAAAAUGUUGGGUUAAGUCCCGCAACGAACGCGACCCUUAUCCUUUGUUACCAGUGAUUCGGUCGGGAAUUCAAAAGAGACUGACGGUGAUCAACCGCAGGCACGUGGGGAUGACGUUAAGUCUCAUGGCCCUUAUGAGUAAGGCUACACAUGUGCUACAAUGUCGCAUACAAAGAGAAGAGAUCUCGCGAGAGAUCCUCGGACCUAAUAAAGUGCGUUGUAGUCAAGAUUGGAGUCUGCAACUCGACUCUAUGAAGUCGGAAUCGCUAGUAAUCGUGGAUCAGAAUGCCACGGUGAAUACGUUAUAGGGCCUUGUAUAUACCGCCCGUCACACCAUGGGAGUGGUGUUGCAAAAGAAGUAGGUAACUUAACCUUCGGGAGGGUGCUUACUACUUUGUGGUUCAUGACUGGG